This 450-nucleotide ribosomal RNA is filed under the name Idiomarina sp. RNAcentral describes it as "bacterial SSU rRNA". It matches the Rfam family "Bacterial small subunit ribosomal RNA", at positions 30 to 472 of the family's 1533-position model. Lineage: Bacteria; Pseudomonadati; Pseudomonadota; Gammaproteobacteria; Alteromonadales; Idiomarinaceae. The record is from RNAcentral.
AUUGAACGCUGGCGGCAGGCCUAACACAUGCAAGUCGAGCGGUAACAGAGAGAAGCUUGCUUCUUUGCUGACGAGCGGCGGACGGGUGAGUAAUACUUGGGAACUUGCCUCUAGGCGGGGGACAACCACUGGAAACGGUGGCUAAUACCGCAUAAUGUCUACGGACCAAAGUGGGGGACCUUCGGGCCUCACACCUAGAGAUGGGCCCAAGUGGGAUUAGCUAGUUGGUGAGGUAAAGGCUCACCAAGGCGACGAUCCCUAGCUGUUCUGAGAGGAUGAUCAGCCACACUGGGACUGAGACACGGCCCAGACUCCUACGGGAGGCAGCAGUGGGGAAUAUUGCACAAUGGGCGCAAGCCUGAUGCAGCCAUGCCGCGUGUGUGAAGAAGGCCUUCGGGUUGUAAAGCACUUUCAGUGGUGAGGAAGGUCAGUAAGUUAAUAGCUUGCUGA